UACGGAGGGUGCGAGCGUUAUCCGGAUUCACUGGGUUUAAAGGGUGCGUAGGUGGGUUUGUAAGUCAGUGGUGAAAUCUCCAGGCUUAACCUGGAAACUGCCAUUGAUACUAUAGAUCUUGAAUUUUCUGGAGGUAAGCGGAAUAUGUCAUGUAGCGGUGAAGUGCUUAGAUAUGACAUAGAACACCAAUUGCGAAGGCAGCUUGCUACAGGGAUAUUGACACUGAGGCACGAAAGCGUGGGGAUCAAACAGG
This 253-nucleotide ribosomal RNA is filed under the name uncultured bacterium. RNAcentral describes it as "partial 16S ribosomal RNA". It matches the Rfam family "Bacterial small subunit ribosomal RNA", at positions 524 to 776 of the family's 1533-position model. The record is from RNAcentral.